GAUGAAGAACGUAGCGAAAUGCGAUAAGUAAUGUGAAUUGCAGAAUUCAGUGAAUCAUCGAAUCUUUGAACGCACAUUGCGCCCCCUGGUAUUCCGGGGGGCAUGCCUGUCCGAGCGUCAUUACAACCCUCAAGCUCAGCUUGGUGUUGGGCCCCGCCGCCCCGGCGGGCCCUAAAGUCAGUGGCGGUGCCGUCCGGCUCCGAGCGUAGUAAUUCUUCUCGCUCUGGAGGUCCGGUCGUGUGCUCGCCAGCAACCCCCAAUUUUUUUCAGGUUGACAUCGGAUCAGGUAGGGAUACCCGCUGAACUUAAGCAUAUCAAUAAGCGGAGGA
RNAcentral lists this unclassified non-coding RNA (329 nucleotides) under soil metagenome. Its description in RNAcentral is "partial contains 5.8S ribosomal RNA, internal transcribed spacer 2, and large subunit ribosomal RNA". The stretch from base 1 to 120 matches the Rfam family "5.8S ribosomal RNA", at positions 35 to 154 of the family's 154-position model. The record is from RNAcentral.